AUUGAACGCUGGCGGCAGGCCUAACACAUGCAAGUCGAGCGAGCGGCGGACGGGUGAGUAAUGUAUGGGGACCUGCCCGAUAGAGGGGGAUAACUACUGGAAACGGUGGCUAAUACCGCAUACUAUCGGAUCAGCCCAUAUGGGAUUAGCUAGUAGGUGGGGUAAAGGCUCACCAAGGCGACGAUCCCUAGCUGGUUUGAGAGGAUGAUCAGCCACACUGGGACUGAGACACGGCCCAGACUCCUACGGGAGGCAGCAGUGGGGAAUAUUGCACAAUGGGCGAAAGCCUGAUGCAGCCAUGCCGCGUGUAUGAAGAAGGCCUUAGGGUUGUAAAGUACUUUCGGCGGAGAGGCGGUAUCCGCAGAAGAAGCACCGGCUAACUCCGUGCCAGCAGCCGCGGUAAUAC
Molecule: ribosomal RNA, 406 nt
Filed under: uncultured bacterium
Lineage: Bacteria
Description: partial 16S ribosomal RNA
Rfam family: Bacterial small subunit ribosomal RNA
Source: RNAcentral